GACGUAGGGCGCGAGCGUUGUCCGGAUUUAUUGGGCGUAAAGAGCUCGUAGGCGGCUUGUCGCGUCGUCCGUGAAAACCUGCAGCUCAACUGCAGGCUUGCGGUCGAUACGGGCAGGCUGGAGUUCGGUAGGGGAGACUGGAAUUCCUGGUGUAGCGGUGAAAUGCGCAGAUAUCAGGAAGAACACCAAUGGCGAAGGCAGCUCUCUGGGACGGUACUGACGCUGAGACGCGAAAGCGUGGGGAGCGAACAGG
This 253-nucleotide ribosomal RNA is filed under the name uncultured bacterium. RNAcentral's name for it is "partial 16S ribosomal RNA". It matches the Rfam family "Bacterial small subunit ribosomal RNA", at positions 524 to 776 of the family's 1533-position model. The record is from RNAcentral.